RNAcentral lists this transfer RNA (73 nucleotides) under Mustela putorius furo (domestic ferret). It matches the Rfam family "tRNA". Rfam says of the family: Transfer RNA (tRNA) molecules are approximately 80 nucleotides in length. Their secondary structure includes four short double-helical elements and three loops (D, anti-codon, and T loops). Lineage: Eukaryota; Metazoa; Chordata; Mammalia; Carnivora; Mustelidae. The record is from Rfam by way of RNAcentral.
GCCUGGCUGGCUCAGUCAAUAGGACAUGAGACUCUUGAUCUCAGGGUCAUGAGUUCAAACCCCAUGUUGGGCA